RNAcentral lists this transfer-messenger RNA (278 nucleotides) under Desulfovibrio sp. OttesenSCG-928-M14. RNAcentral's name for it is "partial transfer-messenger RNA". It matches the Rfam family "transfer-messenger RNA", at positions 81 to 374 of the family's 374-position model. From Rfam's summary of the family: Bacterial tmRNA, also known as 10Sa RNA or SsrA, is named for its dual tRNA and mRNA-like properties. Its role is to liberate the mRNA from a stalled ribosome. To accomplish this part of the tmRNA is used as a reading frame that ends in a translation stop signal. The record is from RNAcentral. Lineage: Bacteria; Pseudomonadati; Thermodesulfobacteriota; Desulfovibrionia; Desulfovibrionales; Desulfovibrionaceae.
ACAAAAGUAAUUGGCAACGAUUACGAAUACGCUCUCGCGGCUUAAUUAGCCGUGCCGGUCUGUGUGCCGACGCCUGAUAAGCGCACACACCGGACACCCUUUUCAGGCUGGCGCCCAAUGACGCCUUUCGCAACGGGCGCGAGAAAGCAAGAAAGGCUGGCCGCAAAACGCCGGGUCCCAGGGCAAACUUUGCGGCAAGAGGUUAAUCUGAGACUACGCCCGUAGACGUCGCGGCAGACGCUUCUCGGACGCGAGUUCGAUUCUCGCCGCCUCCACCA